Molecule: long non-coding RNA, 1943 nt
Organism: Parus major (Great Tit)
Lineage: Eukaryota; Metazoa; Chordata; Aves; Passeriformes; Paridae
Exons: 4
Source: RefSeq, a predicted model, not a curated record
UGCGGUGAUUGUGGAGUUGUCAGGGGCGGGAGAGGGUUUUGAGGUCAUCGAGUCCAACCGUCAGCGCGGCAUUGCCGCUGUGACUCUAACCUCGACACCUCUAAACUCCUAAAACACUAAGCUACAUCACCCAGCGCCAAAUCCAGGCGCCUCUUAAACACCUCUGGGGUUGGUGAUUCCACCAUCUCCUUCGGCAAUUCAUUCCAAUGUUUGACCAGCAGACCAGUGAAAAAGACUUUUUUGUCUACUAUCUAACCUCGAUCUGCCCUGUCUCAGCUUGAGGCCGUGUUUGAGGUUCUCUCACUGCAGUGUAGAAGAGGCUGGACUCCAGUUAGCUGGGGAGAGCCGUGAAGUUCCCCUGAGCCUCGUCCGGGCUAAACUACCCCGGGUCCCUCAGCCGCUCCUCAUAAACGUGUGGGAAAAAGGAAAGUCCCUUUUAUUAGGCCUUAUGUAUUGAAUCUUAACUACAAAACACAACUGCAUUUUUUUCCUUUUUGCUACUAAACCACGACUGAUUCAGGGUGAUGACGUACAGGUUUUUUCCCCCCCUUUCAUAAUUAGAUGAGUGUGUGAUCAUUUUCAGUGCUGAGCCUGGCUAAAUGUGUACUGUGGGGCUGCAGUGAGUGGCUUGAAAAGUCUUGAAAAGGUCUCCAAGAAUGCGGACUUCCUGACCUGUGCAGUAGGUGCCUCUGCCCAGGGAAAGGCUCCCUCAGGAAAACUGCCAGAGCUGCUGGUUGUCCUUGAGCUCCCAAACACCCUCUACUUAGUUGAAAGAAAUCAAAGGAAAUCUGUCCUUAUUUUCUCAUAUAUUUGUGACAGCAUGUAUGAAGUGCCAAGACUUAGGAGGAAAAGGAGAUGAUACGUUUCAGAUCCAGUGAGGCACAGCUGAAAAAACUGAUCUAAUGAAAGACCAGAAGAACACUGUGGGGCACAGUGAAGCUGUUGGUAAUAGUUUUUGAAUCUCAAUUGAUAAUCCUGUGUGGAAGCUGUCAGGCGUGGGGCACUCCAGCAUGUUUAGAGCUCCUACACAUUUCCAAAUUGAGAAGUGCGAGAGAGAGUCAUCUUAGCAAGAGAAAAGCUCCCUCCUGUGGAAGAGAUGAACCUCUGCUGUGACAAGGAGCAACCAUAAGGGCAUUACACCGUGAUUUGAAAUUAGCAGGGAAAGGGGUUACAAGCACGGUGGGACUUUGCAAAUACUGGAAUGCAAAACCCUGCUCCUGUUAUUUUUUUUUCUCAAAGUAAAUUUUUCAUAUUUUGUAUGGCUUAUAUCUAUAACUGUAUGUCAAUUAUAACUGUUGUCUGUGAGUAAAACUGGAUUGUUUAAAUAAUAUAAUGUGGCCACAGUGAGCUCUAUAGUGUUCAAGGGAUCUAAAGCAGCUGAUAUUAUUACAGAUUUUGCUUUCUGUAGCUCUUUGCUGACAAGCCUUAGUAUUUUGGAAAUUUGUGUGAAUUUGAGUUUGUAGAGCUUACUUUUAAAAAACUUCUACUUUUUUUUUACUUUUUUACUUUUACUUUUUUGUUUUCCUUUUUUUUAAAAAGUCUGAUAAUCUGUCUAUCUUGAAGAUCUGUGUUAAAAUGUUUCUGAAUCUUGCUGUGAUUGGUGGUCCUUGGUAGAAAGCUCUGCUGAGCUCAAAGCCCGAUGUAACUUGGAAAAUAAAACUGCACAGAAAUUAUAAAGAUGAAAUUGUGGUGGAGGGGCUGGAACUAGAACGUGAUAUCAAAUUCCUGCUAGAAACAGUAUUUUUUACCUUUGAGCUGAAUAUGAUUCAUGCUUGUGAUCUGAAGGUGGAAGGCUGCAGCUCAUUAGCACAUUAACAAAACCCUGAGGCAUUUACUCCCAGAAAUGCUAAUGUUAUUCCCCUGAGAAUGAAGCACUUGUGGGAAUGGGGGAGAUGAAUCUUUAUUAUUACAGUGGAGUUUUAAUUUUACCAAUUCCAAUUCAU